UACGUAGGGGGCUAGCGUUGUCCGGAAUCAUUGGGCGUAAAGAGCUCGUAGGCGGUUUGUCGCGUCUGCCGUGAAAGUCCGGGGCUCGACUCCGGAUCUGCGGUGGGUACGGGCAGACUAGAGUGAUGUAGGGGAGACUGGAAUUCCUGGUGUAGCGGUGAAAUGCGCAGAUAUCAGGAGGAACACCGAUGGCGAAGGCAGGUCUCUGGGCAUUAACUGACGCUGAGGAGCGAAAGCAUGGGGAGCGAACAGG
Molecule: ribosomal RNA, 253 nt
Filed under: uncultured bacterium
Lineage: Bacteria
Description: partial 16S ribosomal RNA
Rfam family: Bacterial small subunit ribosomal RNA
Source: RNAcentral